Molecule: small nuclear RNA, 322 nt
Filed under: Mustela putorius furo (domestic ferret)
Lineage: Eukaryota; Metazoa; Chordata; Mammalia; Carnivora; Mustelidae
Description: 7SK RNA (ENSMPUG00000022056.1)
Rfam family: 7SK RNA
About the family: 7SK was discovered as an abundant small nuclear RNA in the mid-70s but a possible function has only recently been suggested.
Source: RNAcentral
GGAUGUGAGGGUGAUUGAAUUGUGACAUCUGUCACUUGCACUGAUCCCCACGGUUAAUCUGGCUGAUCUGGCUGGUUGGCGGGUGUCCCCUUCCUCCCUCACUGUUCCAUGUGCAUCCCUCCUGGAAGCUGUGUGCUCCAUGAAGGAGAAUGAUUCGUGGAUAGAGGAGGACCAUUCUCUGGUCAAGGGUAUAGGAGUAGUUGUGCUCCCUCUUGGAACCUCCAAACAAGCUCUCAAGGUCCAUUUGUAGGAGAACGUAGGGUAGUCAAUCUUCCAAGACUCCAGACACAUCCAAAUGAGGCCCUGUAUGUGGCAGUCUAAA